RNAcentral lists this ribosomal RNA (459 nucleotides) under uncultured bacterium. Its description in RNAcentral is "partial 16S ribosomal RNA". It matches the Rfam family "Bacterial small subunit ribosomal RNA", at positions 338 to 795 of the family's 1533-position model. The record is from RNAcentral.
CCUACGGGGGGCAGCAGUGAGGAAUAUUGGUCAAUGGGCGCGAGCCUGAACCAGCCAAGUAGCGUGAAGGAUGACUGCCCUACGGGUUGUAAACUUCUUUUAUAAAGGAAUAAAGUGAGGCACGUGUGCCUUUUUGUAUGUACUUUAUGAAUAAGGAUCGGCUAACUCCGUGCCAGCAGCCGCGGUAAUACGGAGGAUCCGAGCGUUAGCCGGAUUGAUUGGGUGUAAAGGGAGCGUAGGCGGGACUGCAAGUUGGGUGUCAAAUCUACCGGCGCAACCGGUAGCCGCACUCAAAACUGCAGUUCUGGAGUGAAGUAGAGGCAGGCGGAAUUCCUAGUGUAGCGGUGAAAUGCGUAGAUAUUAGGAGGAACACCGAUUGCGAAGGCAGCUUACUAAACUGCCACUGACAUUGAUGCUCGAAAGUGUGGGUAUCAAACAGGAUUAGAUACCCCUGUAGUC